UUCUCAGAGCUUGGAGAGGUCUGCUGGGUUGUUCUUGGAUAACGCACCUUGACAUAUUUGUUCACCCCUGUCAGAGAGACGGUCUUCAAUGAAUUGUUGAAUUUAUCCUCUGUACUAAACACUCGACCCUGUCCUCAACCUAGAACAGCCUGCUGCAGUAACCAUGGCAACUGCAGCAUCCACUGGCUGUAGAAUUUGACCAAGACAAGGAGUUCUGAGAGGACCAUGCUGAAGGAGUAGAGCUGAUCCUUCAGGC
Pygocentrus nattereri (red-bellied piranha) is the source of this 256-nucleotide long non-coding RNA. The record is from Ensembl. Lineage: Eukaryota; Metazoa; Chordata; Actinopteri; Characiformes; Serrasalmidae.